Molecule: ribosomal RNA, 540 nt
Filed under: Aspergillus niger
Lineage: Eukaryota; Fungi; Ascomycota; Eurotiomycetes; Eurotiales; Aspergillaceae
Also listed under: 1 other name
Description: eukaryotic LSU rRNA
Rfam family: 5.8S ribosomal RNA (bases 173-326)
Source: RNAcentral
CCAGUUAUUGGGCCGGUUUCUCUUUUUUUUCUCCCCCGCAGGCCUAAACCUCCCACCCGUGAAUACCUGACCAACGUUGCUUCGGCGGUGCGCCCCUCCGGGGGUAGCCGCCGGAGACCACAUUGAACCUCUUGUCUUUAGUGUUGUCUGAGCUUGAUAGCAAACCUAUUAAAACUUUCAACAAUGGAUCUCUUGGUUCCGGCAUCGAUGAAGAACGCAGCGAACUGCGAUAAGUAAUGUGAAUUGCAGAAUUCAGUGAAUCAUCGAGUCUUUGAACGCACAUUGCGCCCCCUGGCAUUCCGGGGGGCAUGCCUGUCCGAGCGUCAUUGCUGCCCUUCAAGCCCGGCUUGUGUGUUGGGUCGUCGUCCCCUCCGGGGGACGGGCCCGAAAGGCAGCGGCGGCACCGCGUCCGGUCCUCGAGCGUAUGGGGCUUUGUCACCCGCUCGAUUAGGRCCGGCCGGGCGCCAGCCGGCGUCUCCAACCUUUUAUUUACCAGGUUGACUCGAUGAGUAGCAUCCUUUUAAAUAUUUCUAUCUCCAG